RNAcentral lists this ribosomal RNA (377 nucleotides) under uncultured bacterium. RNAcentral describes it as "bacterial SSU rRNA". It matches the Rfam family "Bacterial small subunit ribosomal RNA", at positions 521 to 896 of the family's 1533-position model. The record is from RNAcentral.
UAAUACGUAGGUGGCAAGCGUUGUCCGGAUUUACUGGGCGUAAAGAGCGCGCAGGCGGUCGUUCAAGUCGCGUGUGAAAGCCCCCGGCUCAACUGGGGAGGGUCACGCGAUACUGAUCGACUCGAAGGCAGGAGAGGGAAGUGGAAUUCCCGGUGUAGUGGUGAAAUGCGUAGAUAUCGGGAGGAACACCAGUGGCGAAGGCGACUUCCUGGCCUGUUCUUGACGCUGAGGCGCGAAAGCUAGGGGAGCAAACGGGAUUAGAUACCCCGGUAGUCCUAGCCGUAAACGAUGGACACUAGGUGUUGGUGGUAUCAACCCCGCCAGUGCCGAAGCUAACGCAUUAAGUGUCCCGCCUGGGGAGUACGGCCGCAAGGCUA